RNAcentral lists this transfer RNA (47 nucleotides) under Salix triandra. RNAcentral describes it as "partial transfer RNA-Leu". The record is from RNAcentral. Lineage: Eukaryota; Viridiplantae; Streptophyta; Magnoliopsida; Malpighiales; Salicaceae.
CGAAAUCGGUAGACGCUACGGACUUAAUCCGUCGACUUUAUAAAUCG